CACGUAGGAGGCGAGCGUUGUCCGGAAUCAUUGGGCGUAAAGAGCGCGCAGGCGGCUUGGCAAGUCGGGUGUGAAAUCCCGGGGCUCAACCCCGGGACUGCAUUCGAUACUGUCAGGCUAGAGGUAGGUAGGGGAGAUCGGAAUUCCUGGUGUAGCGGUGAAAUGCGCAGAUAUCAGGAGGAACACCCGUGGCUAAGGCGGCUCUCUAGUACGGUACUGACGCUGAGACGCGAAAGCGUGGGGAGCGAACAGG
RNAcentral lists this ribosomal RNA (253 nucleotides) under uncultured bacterium. RNAcentral describes it as "partial 16S ribosomal RNA". It matches the Rfam family "Bacterial small subunit ribosomal RNA", at positions 524 to 776 of the family's 1533-position model. The record is from RNAcentral.